Molecule: long non-coding RNA, 6319 nt
Organism: Ooceraea biroi (clonal raider ant)
Lineage: Eukaryota; Metazoa; Arthropoda; Insecta; Hymenoptera; Formicidae
Source: RefSeq, a predicted model, not a curated record
GGCAGGCUUCAGUGUGUUCCACCCACUGUUAUCCUCAAGCCUUUCCCGUCCAAGCCCUGAUGGAUCACCCAGCCAGCCCGCCACCCACAGAAUGGCCAACGACCGAUAUUUCGACUCACAGAACUGUCAUUGAAUCAUAUAAUAAAUGCGAGAACAGAAUCCCCUCGCUGAACUCGCAAAAUAAAAUGUCUGACAUGUUGCAAAAUCGCACUACUUAAGAUUAAACCUAUCUUUAUUUCUUAUUUUUCUUCUAAUUCUUUAUAUUAAACAAUGCUACUCACAAAUAAAAAAUUUUCCAAUUUAUCGUUAGAUUAUGUUGCUUGAAAAUGUUUUAUUCAUCGUUAAGCCCUGUUAACAAAUAAAGUUACAUUUGGCCCAGCACUGAGUUUUAUUCGAUUUAAUUAGCUCACUUUUUAAAUAAAAAUAGUACAGAUAAUAUUUAUUGUAUGAGGUUUACGCAGUGAAAAGACGCAGGUUUGCAGUUAGCACUUUAUACAGGGUGUCUCGCAUAAGUUGUCCAAUCGCUCUGCUGCAUGUAGAUCUCGUUAAGGUGAACCAAAAAGUCUUAUAUCAUUUUGCAAUUAACCCCAUACAUUUCGAGUAAUUAAGUAAAGAAAGUUCACUAAUUUAGCGGACGCGAUUGGCUGCGAGGAAAGUAGGCGUGAAUAACGUAACAAACAGCUAGCCACGUGCGCGACGCGAUGGCAGCGAGUAUCGGAUUACAGCGGCAGGCGAGACGACGCAUGGACAAGAAUUGCUCAGUGUCUCAUUCACGCGCACGUGUUGAAAGUCUCUUUUUUAUUUGAUUUUUAAUGUGCCACUAGCCACUAGACGUUUCUCGGCUUUUUUUGGCACCCUGUACAAUUACCACACUACGAAAUCUACCUGAAAUAAAAGUAGUGCAUUAUUUCUAUCAUACGAUCUUACCGAUGUCCUUCAGAAAAGACCAUAAUGCCAUCAACGAAUCUAUAUCUAUGUCUUUUAACCAUUUUUCUAUAUCAUAUGGAUAACGAGUAUUAUAAGUUUCCAACAAUCUAUAAAAUUUGGCCCUUGCAUCGUCAAAUUGCACGCAACCAAAUGCCACGUGCGUUAUUGUCUGUUCCCUUGCUCCGUAUUCGCACAUAAAACUAUUUAUAAUGCCUUUUCUUGCCAAUGAUUCAUUUACGUUAUAGUGCCCAGAGCGUAAUCUAUUCACUAACGUUACAAAACCUCAAGGAUAAUUUGUAUUAAAAAACCAGGGUUUUUUCUUUUCCCUUGUAAAGUAUCUCGUAAAGUACAUUUUUCCUUUGUAUCUUCCCUCACUUUCAAUUCUAUCGACUGUUCUUUCUAACAUUUCUUUCGUAUAUUCUGCUAUUCAAUCCUGAUAAGGAACUUUUAUUCUACAAUCCGAAUCUUCCUCUGUCACCUCUUUUGCUAAUUUAUCUGCCAUUUCAUUUCCUUGUAUACCUUUAUGUCCUGGUAUCAAACCUAUAACUAACUUACGGUUCUGAAUCGCUUCUCUUUCUUGUUGUUUAUGUUGAGGAUUACGGUGGAUUCUCGAAAAGAAAUAUGUUGUUUAAAGAAUACUUUCGCUUUAUUCGCAAUUACAACGUGUCUCGGUCACAUACGAGCUUGACUCGACGAAAGACUAAUAGACAGUGAGUGAGGAGCAGUGCGCGAACCAAAAUAUAUAAAAACAGGAAAUGAGAAUAUUUGUCGCGCUACUGCCACUCGUCAUAUUAUGAUAGGCUGAGGAUAUACAUGACAGGCAACUUAAUAAACUCAAAUUAAUCAAAAACAAAAGCACGCAACAUCCUCAACAGUUUAUAAUGAUCAAAAAUUCUAUGUCUGAUUCUCGUAAUAAAUACAUUUUCAUAUACAUUUAUCCUGUUAUUUUUUAAACCCUCACACACACUUUUUGAGUCUGUUAAAAUUAAAAUGUCUUUAUCUCGCUCUGAUUCUAUUAUUAAUCUUAAAGCCUAUUUUAUGGCUACUGCCUCUGUCAUAAAGAUUUACUGUUGAUGCUCAUCGAAAAACCUAUAUUUCCGACUCUUCUCUGGCUACCCCGAUUCCUACACUUUUUUUGUCCGUUUGCUUUGAUCCAUCCGUAUAAAUAACUACAAAGUUAUCGUUCAUCUCGUAUUUAUCCUGAAAAAGUUGCAAAAGCUUCCCGUCGGUCCAUUUUUUUUGCUCUCUCCUCUCCUAUUUCCAUUUCUACCAAAACUUUACAAGUUAAGGUCCAAUAGUUUCGUAUACCUCGAAUUUUUCCUUCCAUUCUAUGUCGUUCUUAUUUCUUUUAAUACAUCUCCACACUUCUACUAUUAUAGUUCGUGUUCUAUGCGGAUUUAAAAAUCGAAACCUACUAUGCAAUAUUUCUAGUCUAUUCAUCAGUCCGAUUAGUUCUUUGUUUUUGAACAUCGCUAUUUUCGUCCAAAAAUUCCUUGCUAAUAGACUAGCACGUUCUUCUAUCUUCAUUAGUCUAGCCUCUCCUACCAUAACAUUACACGGAGUGGAGUUCCUAUAUCCUAGCGCGAUUCUUAUUCCCUUAUAUUGGAUUCGUUCUAUUUUUAGUUUCUCUCCUUCAUUCUUAGGAAAGAAUAUAAACAGUCCAUAAUCUAGAAGAGACCUUACGUACGCUUUGUACAUCAACAAAGAUGUAUUGGUUUCCAUACCCCAACUCAUCCUACUGAUAUAUCUUAAUAGACUGCAACCUCGCAUAGCUUUUCCUCUAACUUAUUUUACUUGAUCCUUAAAUGAUAAUUUGUUAUCAAACGUAAUUCCUAAAAACUUUGCCUUUUUCACAUAAUUUAUUCUUUUGUCUUUUACAAUUAUAUAAAGCUAUUCGUUUUGAUAUUACCUUUUUUAUUAAAUUCUAUAAUUUGCGUUUUGGACGGCUUUAUAUUUAGACCUAACUCGACUAAAUUUUUAUUUAGGAUUUUAAUUCCCUCCUCUAUUUCAUUUUCUAUUUCCGCGAUAAAUCUUCCUGUAAUAAAUAUUGCUAGGUCCUCAGCGUAUUUUAAACAUUUUAUCCUAUAACUCAAUUUUUUGCAAUAUUUUUAGUGUAAAUCGCGAAGAGACCUGAAUUUAGCACCCUACCUUGCGUUAACCCUUUAUUGAUCAGUCUUCUUUCUGUCCUUUCUUCGUCUACAAUAAAAAUUGUGUCUCUAUUUUUCAUCCAUUCUUGAAUAUAUUUAAUUAUUUUAACUGGACAUCCCUCUUCUAUCAAGAUUUCCACAAGAAUGUUCCCUCUUACAUUAUCGUAUGCCGAAGAUAUAUCUAAAAACGCUGCUAUGGUGCUUUUUUCCGCACAGUACAGCCUCUUUCAUUAUAUUAACUAUUUUGUUAUAUUUUCCUUCUAUUCCUACAUUUAAACAAUUCUUCUUCUUCUAGAAGACUCUCGCGUCUCAAAAUUUCUGAUUCGUAUGUUCCCAAUCAGUUCUUUGUUGAGAUUCUAUUCGUUUUUUUUCCGAUAAGUUUCCAUACUUAUCGAGAAAUCAAAUACUACCGGGAAGUGAUCUGACUCCCACGAGUCCUUUUCUUGCGCAUAAUUGACUCUAUUAAAUAAUUUCCUAGAGCAGAACAUUAAAUCUAAAUUGGAUGGUUGUGUUCCUCAGUAGGUAUACUAGGAGAGUUCUAACUCAGGAGCUCCGAGGGGAGCGCGGGGCGAGGGGAAUCUCCAGGAUGAGGGGUAUGACGUCACGCGGGACGAAAGGCAUGGUGGUGGGGAUACCGGGCCUGGGGCGAAGAGCAUGGUGGGGGGGGUAGUUCUAUGAUUUAUGCAUAGACUUAUAGAGAUAGAUCGGCCCUCACCGUAGAAAGCAGCGCGGCAACAUCACGGUGCAGACAAUAGCCUGUGGAGUAGACCCCUCCUUCUCUUUUAACGCUGGUGCGAGAAGGAGGGGUCUAUUCCACAGGCUAUUGUCUGCAUCGUGAUGUUGCCGCGCUGCUUUCUACGGUGAGAGCCGGUCUAUCUCUAUAAGUCUAUGGAUUAAUGAUGCUGCAGCAUUUUUGCUAUCAUACUUUUUCCUAUUAUAUUACUUUUAUUCUAGGAAUGAGCCGAUUAUUUAAUAAAUAAAAAAUAUGUUUACGUUGUUAAAGACUUUUUAGCGCCGAUACCCGGCUGCUGGAAUGAAUGGAUUAUAUUAUAUCUUAACAAUAUCUUAUUGUACAUGUUCUUAUAUGACUCCAUCCUUUCAGAAAAUUGUUUAGUCUGAUGUAUGUUAUUAUGACGUCAUACAGGGUCCAGUAGGCGCCUGUCCGGCGACUGACUCACGAGAAAACUAUUUGUAAAUCAUAAACUUUCUUUCGGAAAAUUUUUUAUUCAGAUGUACGUUAAUAUGACAUCAUACAGGAACCGACGCCUCGUAGGCGCGUCGUAGACGCAUUCAGGCACGUACUCGAUUGCAUGAAAAAUAUUUUUUAAAUCAUAAACUUUCUUUCGGAAAAAAUCAAAGGCAUAUAGACUCACUCGCUGCAACCGACGCUGAGUGUCAGAAGACGAGCUAACAUAAAGGAUACCGCCCUAGUCCACAAAGGCCGCGGCCUUCGAUUGCACUGCAGCCUAAGUGCAACAAAUACCUACAAAUUCUUUCUGACUUUAUUACUUACGUUCCUUCGUGUUCCCAAAAAUUAACAACAAAUCCCCUCCUCACCAAGUCCCAUCUCUCAAAAUUUGAAACCAAUCGCUUUUUGCACAAAGUCUCCACCCAGUCAGCAUCGUUGGGAACAUGAGUUCUUUAAGUUGUCAUUCUAAGAGACAUCUUUGAAAUGAGCUCUUUAUGUUGUCUAUUUGUAGAGAUGUCUAAUAAGAGAACUCGCAAUGUUAUCCUUAGAAAGAAAUAUAAAAGAUAUCAUGGAAACGAGGUCAUAAUGUGUUCUCAGUAUAGUCGAUAACCUCGGUAUAUUAUAGCUAGAUUUGAUAACCUGCAAAACUGUUAUUGUGAAUGUCAGAAUGUCUUUCCGCAAAGAUUUUAAAAGCCUGUCAGCAAGUCAAAAAACCAGAAGACUCCGUAAAGUUUGUGAGUUGCAUGAUCAUGCAUGUUGGAAAUAGUAAUUUUGGCGCCUUCUUACGGUCUUGUCUAUUCUCUGAUUGUGUGGAAACAUGCCUUAAUUAAAUCGGUAUAUAUGCUUGCGUAGCGCGGCGAAGGCUCUCUCUCCCUUUAGGUAGGCCGGUCGCGGGUGAGCUCACCGAUACAGAAAGCGUGUAAAAGAUAAGUAAACCUUUUUUGUUAGAUAUUAUAAGUUCAUGUAUGCGUAACAAGGAGAGAGCAUAUUAGUUUGUAUUCAGUAUUAUAUUUGUUUAUUUAGAAUUGUUUAUUUGAAAAAGCGAGAACAUUUGAUUUGUCAAGAGCACGUGGCACACAGAGCGUAUUGUGCUAUUUUCUAUAUUUGCGUUUCAAUAUAUUUCUUUUUUGUUGCUAUUGCGUGUAAUCUUUGCGUAAAAUUAUAUUGAAUUUCAACAAUGCAACUCAAAGUGAAAAUAUUGAAGUUGUUCAAAGUAAAGUUGCUCAAAGUGAAAAUAUUGAAAAUAACCAUGUGCAAGCACAUCCAGAAACACAAAUCAGACUCGGCAAGAAAAAUAUAAUGUGUGUUCCAAUGUUAUUCUGAUAUGGAAUCAUCAGAGUCGGAUAGUGAUAAUCGAGAAAAUUGUGAUCAGCUGGUGCACUACUGCAAUUAUUAAAAAAUGUUAAUGGAGAAGACGUGAAAAAUCUUCCACUUGAUCCUAAGACAUUGCUGAAGACUCCAAAAAAUAUUAUUGUGCGUGAUGUUCCUCCUGGAGAAUAUGUUCAUUAUGGACUCAAAAAUGCCAUUUUAGAUCUGUUAAAAACUGUUGAGCCAAAUUUUUAAGAAAAAAUAAAUAAUUAUACGUUAUAUCCUACACUUAUUUUAUAGAAAAUAUUCCACAGAAAUAAUUAAUAACAGCUAGGGCAGCGAUCACUUAACUGUUCCGCUAAAGAAGAAACGCGAAAAGUGUCAUUGAUAAAUUCCAUAUAUAUUAAUGAAACUUAUCACGUUUCCUCUCUAAGAGAACAGUUAAGUGAUCGCUGCCCUGUUAUUAAUAACAUUAUUUCGGUCACUGUCCACCUCCUAAUAUAAAGGCUUUUGUGACAUCUAUUACAUGUCACUUUGAAGAGCUCUUUGCGACAUCAUUUCUAUGAUGUCUUCAUUUCCUCUAAAAUCGACGCAUUGGGCAACGUUAUGAUAUCAUUAUGAUAUCUUUUUGAUGAUAUUGUAAGACAUCAUACUCUCAAAUAUAACCUCUUUAAGAGCUCAUUAUGUUAUCGUUUUGCUGGCUGGGCACCCUCACCCCUGGCGAAUCACUUUGUGCGAUGUCCUCCCA